This 700-nucleotide ribosomal RNA is filed under the name uncultured bacterium. RNAcentral describes it as "bacterial SSU rRNA". It matches the Rfam family "Bacterial small subunit ribosomal RNA", at positions 64 to 769 of the family's 1533-position model. The record is from RNAcentral.
GAGCGGGGGUAGCAAUACCCUAGCGGCGGACGGGUGAGGAAUGCAUCGGAACGUGCCCAGUCAUGGGGGAUAACACAGGGAAACUUGUGCUAAUACCGCAUACGCCCUGAGGGGGAAAGUGGGGGACCGCAAGGCCUCACGUGAUUGGAGCGGCCGAUGCCCGAUUAGCUUGUUGGUGAGGUAAAGGCUCACCAAGGCGACGAUCGGUAGCUGGUCUUAGAGGACGAUCAGCCACACUGGAACUGAGACACGGUCCAGACUCCUACGGGAGGCAGCAGUGGGGAAUAUUGGACAAUGGGGGCAACCCUGAUCCAGCCAUGCCGCGUGAGUGAAGAAGGCCUUCGGGUUGUAAAGCUCUUUGAGCGGGGAGGAAGGUUCGAUGGUUAAUAACCAUCGGAAUUGACGUUACCUGCAGAACAAGCACCGGCUAACUCUGUGCCAGCAGCCGCGGUAAUACAGAGGGUGCGAGCGUUAAUCGGAAUUACUGGGCGUAAAGCGUGCGUAGGCGGUUUGAUAAGCUGGAUGUGAAAUCCCCGGGCUUAACCUGGGAACUGCAUUCAGGACUGUUUGACUAGAGUCUGGGAGAGGGUGGUGGAAUUUCCUGUGUAGCGGUGAAAUGCGUAGAUAUAGGAAGGAACAUCAGUGGCGAAGGCGACUGCCUGGCCCAAGACUGACGCUGAGGCACGAAAGCGUGGGUAGC